RNAcentral lists this long non-coding RNA (973 nucleotides) under Calidris pugnax (ruff). RNAcentral describes it as "lncRNA (ENSCPUG00000006900.1)". Lineage: Eukaryota; Metazoa; Chordata; Aves; Charadriiformes; Scolopacidae. The record is from RNAcentral.
GCCUGCAGCUUGCAAAAGUACCUGGUUAUUUUUAUUCCUUUGAUACUUGAUCUACUAUCAAAAUAACUGAUUUUUUUUCUCUUUAACUCCUUAGGAAUCCCCAAAAAACCUGCCACAGGUGAGGCACUGCCAAAAGCCCCCUCAGUUGCCCAUGCACAGGAGGGGUCGGGUCACCGCUUGCGCAGCCCUACAACUGCAGCUAUGUGUGGUGCAGGGUUUCUCCUGAAGACGUGAGGGUUUUGUCCUGCCCUGCGUGGGUUUUGCAAUCCAGAUACUCAGGUAACUCAGUGCCUGAGUGGAUUGUUUGAGUCCAGGCUGACUUGGGAGACAUGGAAGCUAAUGUCCACCUGCCAGCUGUACGUGGGGGUCCAUGCCCUUCAAGGCAGUAACAUCUCAGGUCCAGAUGGGCACCCAGCAGUGGCAUCCUGGCAGAUGACUUGAGAUCUCUAUCAGAUGAUAGUGGAGGCCUCCAGAGCCUUUUCCUACACAAGGAACAUCUUUGCUGACGACGUAUCUCGGGCUCUCACUUGUGCUUGUCCUGGCCAUCCUUGUACACGAAGUGUCUGCAUGUGUUCAGCUGGAAGAUGAUGGGCAAGACAUGACCAUAAGAGGGGUUUUAUAACCAGCUGGUUAACAAGUGCUCCUUCCCAGCAUGGCUGCUUCCAGAAAUCUCCAGGUUUCGACCUGCUGGCUAUUUCAAGUAAGUCUCAAUUUAUAUAUUUUCUUUUCAUAAGCUCUCCAUGGCCAAGCUGUGACAGCUGAGGGAAACCUGCUCAGUCUUUCAGUAUUAAGAUCUCAAUUAUCAGAGGACUGGCUUCUUCCACAGGAUUGUGUGUGUGUGUGUGUUGGGACUCCUUAAAGUCUUUUCAGAGCUGAAGCAUAAGCGGGGACUCAGCUUGGUGUGGUAUUGGGGGCUCUGAAAAAAAAUGCCAGGAGGGAAAGUCCAACCUCGAUUUUUGUCAUUUAAUGCCAC